AAUAUUGGACAAUGGGCGAAAGCCUGAUCCAGCCAUGCCGCGUGUGUGAAGAAGGUCUUCGGAUUGUAAAGCACUUUAAGUUGGGAUGAAGGGCAGUAAGUUAAUACCUUGCUGUUUUGACGUUACCGACAGAAUAAGCACCGGCUAACUUCUUGCCAGCAGCCGCGGUAAUACGAAGGGUGCAAGCGUUAAUCGGAAUUACCGGACGUAAACGGAGAGUAGGUGGUUCGUUAAGUUGGAAGUGAAAGACCCGGGCUUAACCUGGGAAUUGCCUUCAAAACUGACGAGCUAGAGUACGGUAGAGGGUAGUGGAAUUUCCUGUGUAGCGGUGAAAUGCGUAGAUAUAGGAAGGAACAUCAGUGGCGAAGGCGACUACCUGGACUGAUACUGACACUGAGGUGCGAAAGCGUGGGGAGCAAACAGG
RNAcentral lists this ribosomal RNA (424 nucleotides) under uncultured bacterium. RNAcentral describes it as "partial 16S ribosomal RNA". It matches the Rfam family "Bacterial small subunit ribosomal RNA", at positions 360 to 776 of the family's 1533-position model. The record is from RNAcentral.